This 614-nucleotide ribosomal RNA is filed under the name Lactobacillus gasseri. RNAcentral's name for it is "bacterial SSU rRNA". It matches the Rfam family "Bacterial small subunit ribosomal RNA", at positions 371 to 976 of the family's 1533-position model. Lineage: Bacteria; Bacillati; Bacillota; Bacilli; Lactobacillales; Lactobacillaceae. The record is from RNAcentral.
AUGGACGCAAGUCUGAUGGAGCAACGCCGCGUGAGUGAAGAAGGGUUUCGGCUCGUAAAGCUCUGUUGGUAGUGAAGAAAGAUAGAGGUAGUAACUGGCCUUUAUUUGACGGUAAUUACUUAGAAAGUCACGGCUAACUACGUGCCAGCAGCCGCGGUAAUACGUAGGUGGCAAGCGUUGUCCGGAUUUAUUGGGCGUAAAGCGAGUGCAGGCGGUUCAAUAAGUCUGAUGUGAAAGCCUUCGGCUCAACCGGAGAAUCGCAUCAGAAACUGUUGAACUUGAGUGCAGAAGAGGAGAGUGGAACUCCAUGUGUAGCGGUGGAAUGCGUAGAUAUAUGGAAGAACACCAGUGGCGAAGGCGGCUCUCUGGUCUGCAUCUGACGCUGAGGCUCGAAAGCAUGGGUAGCGAACAGGAUUAGAUACCCUGGUAGUCCAUGCCGUAAACGAUGAGUGCUAAGUGUUGGGAGGUUUCCGCCUCUUAGUGCUGCAGCUAACGCAUUAAGCACUCCGCCUGGGGAGUACGACCGCAAGGUUGAAACUCAAAGGAAUUGACGGGGGCCCGCACAAGCGGUGGAGCAUGUGGUUUAAUUCGAAGCAACGCGAAGAACCUUACCA